RNAcentral lists this ribosomal RNA (196 nucleotides) under uncultured Curtobacterium sp. RNAcentral's name for it is "partial 16S ribosomal RNA". It matches the Rfam family "Bacterial small subunit ribosomal RNA", at positions 338 to 540 of the family's 1533-position model. Lineage: Bacteria; Bacillati; Actinomycetota; Actinomycetes; Micrococcales; Microbacteriaceae. The record is from RNAcentral.
CCUACGGGAGGCAGCAGUGGGGAAUAUUGCACAAUGGGCGAAAGCCUGAUGCAGCAAUGCCGCGUGAGGGAUGUCGGCCUUCGGGUUGUAAACCUCUUUUAGUAGGGAAGAAGCGAAAGUGACGGUACCUGCAGAAAAAGCACCGGCUAACUACGUGCCAGCAGCCGCGGUAAUACGUGCCAGCAGCCGCGGUAAU